CAGUAGCCGCGGUAAUACGAAGGGUGCAAGCGUUACUCGGAAUUACUGGGCGUAAAGCGUGUGUAGGUGGUUGUUUAAGUCUGUCGUGAAAGCCCUGGGCUCAACCUGGGAAUUGCGAUGGAUACUGGGCGACUAGAGUGCGGUAGAGGAUAGUGGAAUUUCCGGUGUAGCAGUGAAAUGCGUAGAGAUCGGAAGGAACAUCUGUGGCGAAGGCGACUAUCUGGGCCAACACUGACACUGAGACACGAAAGCGUGGGGAGCAAACAGGAUUAGAUACCCCGGUAGUCCCUGUCUCUUAUAC
RNAcentral lists this ribosomal RNA (301 nucleotides) under uncultured bacterium. RNAcentral's name for it is "partial 16S ribosomal RNA". It matches the Rfam family "Bacterial small subunit ribosomal RNA", at positions 509 to 807 of the family's 1533-position model. The record is from RNAcentral.